CCUACGGGGGGCUGCAGUGGGGAAUAUUGGACAAUGGGCGAAAGCCUGAUCCAGCCAUGCCGCGUGUGUGAAGAAGGCCUUCGGGUUGUAAAGCACUUUCAGUGGGGAAGAAAGCCUUGGGGCUAAUACCCUCGAGGAAGGACAUCACCCACAGAAGAAGCACCGGCUAACUCCGUGCCAGCAGCCGCGGUAAUACGGAGGGUGCGAGCGUUAAUCGGAAUUACUGGGCGUAAAGCGCGCGUAGGCGGUCUGAUAAGCCGGUUGUGAAAGCCCCGGGCUCAACCUGGGAACGGCAUCCGGAACUGUCAGGCUAGAGUGCAGGAGAGGAAGGUAGAAUUCCCGGUGUAGCGGUGAAAUGCGUAGAGAUCGGGAGGAAUACCAGUGGCGAAGGCGGCCUUCUGGACUGACACUGACGCUGAGGUGCGAAAGCGUGGGUAGCAAACAGGUUUAGAUACCCUGGUAGU
RNAcentral lists this ribosomal RNA (464 nucleotides) under Vreelandella stevensii. RNAcentral describes it as "partial 16S ribosomal RNA". It matches the Rfam family "Bacterial small subunit ribosomal RNA", at positions 338 to 794 of the family's 1533-position model. Lineage: Bacteria; Pseudomonadati; Pseudomonadota; Gammaproteobacteria; Oceanospirillales; Halomonadaceae. The record is from RNAcentral.